UAUCUCUCCGUACGGGGAAGGAUGAGAAGCUUCGACUAAGGUUCGAUUCGAGCGCAGCGAGAAAGCGUUGCCACAGGCAACGACCCGAAGGGUGAGGAGCGGAGCGACGAAUAAUCCUUCCCCCACCAUCA
This 131-nucleotide small RNA is filed under the name Salmonella enterica. RNAcentral's name for it is "RtT sRNA". It matches the Rfam family "RtT RNA". Rfam says of the family: This family represents a bacterial cis-regulatory element known as RtT RNA. The exact function of RtT is unknown although it is thought that it may be involved in changing the cellular response in relation to amino acid starvation. The record is from RNAcentral. Lineage: Bacteria; Pseudomonadati; Pseudomonadota; Gammaproteobacteria; Enterobacterales; Enterobacteriaceae.